This 4483-nucleotide long non-coding RNA is filed under the name Marmota monax (woodchuck). Lineage: Eukaryota; Metazoa; Chordata; Mammalia; Rodentia; Sciuridae. The record is from RNAcentral.
CGGGCCGCACGCGUGCCAGGCGAGAGGCUACUGCUUGAGCCACAUCCCCAGCCCUUUCCAAAUGAAUUUCAUCAUGACUUUUUUUUUUAUCUCUAUGAGGAAUGUCAUUGGGAUUUUAAUUGGAAUUACAUUAAGUCUGUAUAAUGCUUUUUUGUUAUGGCCAUUUUGACAAUAUUAAUUCUGCCUAUCCAGGAGCAUGGAUAUCUGUCCAUCUUCUAAGGUCUUCUUCAGUUUCUUUCUUUAGUGUUCUGUAGUUUUCAUCAUAGAGGUCUUUCACCUCUUUUGUUGAUUCCCAACUAUUUUUUUUUUGAGGCUAUUGUGAAUGGGAUAGUUUUCCUAAUUUGUUUUUCAGAGGAUUCAUCACUGAUGUAUAGAAAUGCAUUUGAUUUAUGGGUGUUGGUUUUAUAUCCUGCUACUUUGCCAAAUUCAUUUAUUAAUUCUAGAAGUUUUCUGGUGGAAUUUUUUGGAUUCUUUAAGUAUAGAAUCAUGUUGCUGGCAAAUAGUGAUAGUUUGAGUUCUUCUUUUCCUAUUUGUAUCCCUUUAAUUUCUUUCAUCUAAUUGCUCUGGCUAAAGUUUUAGGGACUGGUGAAUGCGUUCCUGCACCCGCUGUCUGACAGGGUCACAGCAUGGGGGAUGCUGCGGCAAGGCUGUACCAUCUGGAAACCGGAACCAUUAGGAAUGUUAAGUUUAUGAUCCUCAUGAUAUGGAUAACAGGGCAUACGUCAAUCAAUAAUAAAAGUACCUAUUGCCUGAGAUUGCAGGAAAAAUUCCAGAAUGAGACUAAGGAUACAAUGGAGACAUGCCAUAAGGUAUGCUUUAAAGUUAGAAGUGAAUAAUAGGUCAGGAGUCAUGUAGUCUAGUUGGAUCACCUAGCACUUAGUGGUUGAGGUGAAAACGUAAAAGCUUCAUUGUGUUGUCUAAGGUUACAGAAAAAUAUUUUGAACAAUGUACUUAAUAUCUUAAGAAAUCAAUAUAUCAGAAAAGAUUGUAACUCUUGAAAAUUAUGUAAAUCAAAAAAAUUUAGGGCUUUGAAGCUAUCCAUUAACUACCUGAAAGAACACCUGUUAAAAAAAAGUAUAAAAAUAAAGAUCCCUCCAGGGGCAAUUAGAUGUCUUCUGGAGGUUGCUCAUAACUUGCAACCUGUUGUCCCGACUCUUCUUCUUUCACCGACGCCACUCCUCCUUCAGGACCACACUGGACCCUCUCUCCCCCCGCAGGGGCUGGACCUCUGCAAAGGACUAUGUAGAAUAGAAGUGGUGAGAGAGGACACCCUGUCUUGUUCCGGUUCUUAGAGGUAAUGCCUCCAGUUUUUCUCCAUUUAGAAUAACGGUGGCCUUGGCUUAGCAUAGAUAGCUUUUACAAUGUUGAGUUAUGUUCCUACUAUCCCUAGUUUUUCUAGUGUUCUGAACAUGAAAUGGUGUUUGACUUUGUUUUUCCUAUUUAGGGUUGUUGAUAUUAUUCUACACUUUUUCAUGGAAAUUCUCUUCUUUAUUUUAGAACUCAUUCUGCUAUUCCUGUUCUAAUGCCAUCACUCCUUCAACGUUCUUAUGUGGUCUCCACAUUUCCUUCCAGAAGACACAUUCCACAAUGCUUUACAUAAUAGAGUUUCAUUCACCAUUUGGUAAGUAAGGAGUGCUCGUGUUUUGAACAUUUUGAGAGAUCAUGUUUUUCUUAUUUGUCUUUUGUGAGUUGUUGAGGUCUCAUCUGGGCCAUUUGUGGAGUGGCAAGACAAGAAUAUCACUUGCACCAAUACAUCUCUUGAAGAGAGCUGAGUAGUGCAAUUUGACUGUACAAUGAGUUUGAUUUCUGGCCCUAUUUUAGGGUAAAGGGUUACUCUCACAGCUGGCCAUAACUGUAACGUCUGUGUGGAGUCGGCUGGUAGUAGUGACGAGCCCACAUGGCCGGCCCUAAUGACAUAGGAGUCUGUGACUCCUCUUCCCGCUUACACUGUAACCCCCUACUGUUUGAGGGGCCAUGCAGGCCCCGCCCUGGUUUCCCAGCAGCAGAGAAGUAGGAAGUUAGACAUAGUGGCCAGCUGCUCCCACCAUAUCUAUCGGAGUUUUCCCACGCCAAGUGGUCAUCUCUCCAGUAGCGACAUCUACGCAAACCAGGAGAGGUCUCUGCCCUGUUGCGCAGGGACUCACAGUCCUGAGCCAUGUGCCUAGUUCUACCACAGUUGAAACACCACCUGUGAGAAUGGCUGUCCAAGACUGAGGUUGUAGCACCUGUUUCAGAGUCGCAGCAAGUGUUAAGCCCUGUAUCUGUGUUGGACCCACAUCUGCACAAAGGUGAAUAAAUUUAGAAACAGUCCCCCCUUUUCGAUUGGGUUGGAGGAUCUCCUGACAAAGUUUACUAGCAUUUUCAAAUGCUAGCUGCUUGACCAGGGACUCAGAGGCAUUCCAGUCUCUUUUUGAUCUGUUGGCUGCCUCAUAGAGACGUGCCACAAAAUCUGAGAAUGGCUCCUCUGAUCCUUGUCAGAUUUGACUAAAAUCCAAAGCUGAUUCACCUCUAUUAGGCAAUUCCCUCCACACCUUUUGACACAUGCAGUAAUUUGAUCAUAAAUUGCUAGAUUAUAAUUUAUCUGCCUUUCCAAAUCUGCAAAUUCUCCACUUCCAGUUAACAUCUCCAAAGGGGCAUCAAAGACUUGUCUCUGGUUUCUCUCAGCCUGUUCAGUGCAAUUAUGAGUCCAGUGAGAUCACCAAAGCAGAUUAUCACCCCCCAAUAAAUAAGUUUUGGCCAGAGAAAUCCAAUCAUGUGGGGGCUCAUUGCAUAAAGAAUCAAGCAUGUCCCGACCGGCAGGACACAUCAACAUGGGCAGCGAACCUAGAUGGGGAGGAAUGAAGGGACAAGAGACACGAAAGGUGACAGCAAGACAGGAGUCUGAUCAAGCUGCAAACUUUUAUUGUUCACACAGGGGUAUUUAUAUGCUGGGGAUGGGGAAGCUCUCUUAUCAGCAGUUGCUGGAUGUCUUCACAAGGUGAGAUAACCUCAGGAUGUUUCAGGAAGACAGAUGGCGGAAGGAUGUCUCAGGGAGAUAGAUGGCUACAGGAUGUCUCCCAGGCAGGAUGUCUCCCAGGGGGCUGUUUCUUUUAACUGUCAGGCUAUUCUUUGAAGGAGAACUUCCUUCUAGCCCCUGGCAAAGCAGACUUUGAAUGAAGGCUGAUUUUGGACCAUUAAGUACAGCAAGCAUUUUUUAGCUCUUUUAGAGUCUGAAGAAACUGCAGCCUGCACGUGGCCACCCUGGUUUUGCUGGUUAACCUGCUCAAACUCUGGAAAAAGCUGAAAACCUGUAAUAUUGUCCCCGCUUCCAGUGCUGUCCUAAGGCCAUAUUGGAGGGGUAUAAGUGUGGCUACUGGCAGGUCUGUGCUCUUAUUGCACUGUAUGCCCUGGGAAUUAGGUAUUAUUCCCCUUCAAUAUACAGAGCACAUCUGUGUUUGAAACUCUGUACUCACCUUGUGAAACUCAUUACUCAUUUUGUUUGUGUGGCCUGCAGAUGAGGAUUGGCUUGAGGAUCUAAGACCUGUGAUUACCAGCCUGAGGCCAGCAUAUCUCCUUAGUUAGAGUGUUUAGGGUAAAGCUGCUGAAAGUUAUUUUUAUUCGUAUUAAAAGGGUUUAACCUGGUCACAUAAUGCAUUUAGAAGCUCUUAUUGGCCACUAUAGAUUCCUUGAUUAAAACCCUACAUUAAAUAAUUAUAUUUGGGACAGUCUUUCAAUGAUAAAGUUGUCUUUAGUGAAAAGAUUGAAACAAUUCAACUUGAUGUUUAGCGAAUAGAUUUUAGAUUAUUGUGUAUAUUAGUUAUUGUCAUUUCUUUUACAUUAACUAGUAGCUAUAUGUCAAAUAAAUAACAAUUUUAUCAAUAUUAAAGAGAUGUAUUAAAACAUCUUAGUGAAUACCUCAAACCAUGGGAUUUCUUAUGAAUAUUAACUUUAAAAACUUUCCUACACCAUGAAGAGCCUAUGUAGUCCCUUUGCUCUCAGAACCCUGGGUACAUUGAAGCCCUAAAGUGGUGUCUGAAAAUGAAUGGUUGGAAGUGUGCAUUUGUGGGAUACACUGAAGCAGUUUCAUAGGCCAGCACACUUUAAUAGAAGUAUCAUGGGAACCCAAAUUUGAAUUUUACAUUUUCCCAUGGCUGUUUAAAAAAAAUAAGCCUGCAUAUGAAAUAUUUUUUAUUAUCUUUUUUUUUCUUUUUUAAAUUUUUAUUAUUGGUUAUUCAAAACAUUACAUAGUUCUUGACAUAUCAUAUUUCAUACAUUUGAUUCAAGUGGGUUAUGAACUCCCAUUUUUACCCCGUAUACAGAUUGUAGAAUCACAUCGGUUACACAUCCACAUUUUUACAUACUGCCAUACUAGUGUAUGUUGAAUUCUGCUGCCUUUCCUAUCCUCUACUAUCCCCCCAUAUGAAAUAUUUUGAAGAGUAUAAAUGAAUGAAUUCAUUUUAUUCAAAUUACAAUUUAAACACUAAAUAAAAGUGGAAAUCAUCAA